ACGAAACAGAGGAAAGCAUUUCAUUAUCUCUGCUGAUGACCCGGAAUAAUCUAACCUCUGAUUUACAGUAAAAACUACAAAAAGUUCAUUGUGCAGUUCCACUAUACCUGCCCUUGAACGUUACUUCAGGAUGUCUGGAGCAAUACAGAGUGGAUCUGGACACAUCUCUGUGUGCUGCUGGCAUGUCAAGAUUUGACUGCUGUUACGCAACCAAAACAACAUUGUGCUUCUGAGGUGCAUUAGCUUUUUUUUUUUUAACAUAAAAACAGGGCACAGUAUAAGUAGCUGAGCAUGCCCUGGCUUGAUUGUCAUCAUCUUGCAAUUCAGAAUGAAGGCUUUUUGUUAACUUUGUACAUUUGCCUGUCACUGCUUGGCAAUAGUGUGGCCUCAUUCCAAGAAACUACGUGGGAAGGAGAUAAUGCUUGUGUGGGCAAAUAUCUGCCAAGUUCACCCAUUUUCUUAUUUGGUCAUCAUCUUUAGGCUUCAAUAGGGACACGUUCAUAGAUAGACUUCUCUAAGGGAUGAAGAUGCCCCGCAGUCCCACAUGAACUGAGACGCCAGGUCAGCUCUGUUCAGACAAAACCACUGUGCGACUCCUGUAUCUGAUUAAAAUGGCCAAAUCAGAAAGUCCAUUCCAACACAUGGUGCCACUUGGCUUUGUUCUGCAAGAGAAGGGGAUGAUAUGACUGUUGUGUAAAUGCUGCCCCACCUCGACCGAGUUGAAUGACCAACAGUGUAACCUGGAUUCUGAGAACCGGACUGAAGCUCUAGUAUGAAUUCAGUGCUCUACGCAAAGAGGCUCUGUGUUUGUGUAAUGUUUGAACGGGGGCGCAAACUACAUCAAAGCCACCCGCCAUGGUCUGUGCUUCAUUAGCAUUCUAGGUGGUUGCCAUCUGCCUGUCCUGGAGCAAUUGCCCAAUAUCAAAGCAUCAGUGGAAACAUCCUUGGAAAUUGACCACCCUUCGCUGGAACUAUUAAAUACGGACAGUAAAUAAAUACUGUCCUUCGCAGGUGAACGCACCAUUUCAAGACUAUUCUUCCAUAUAUGUAAAACUUCAAUAAAAUAAGCCUGGAAUUCAAGCAAACACGAGAGCUCAUGCUUGAUUGCACUGGCAAAAUUGCUUUCAGGUCUCUCUGACUGCUUUCAGAGAACUUUUGUGGAUGUUGACACGCUCCUUUAAAGGCCAAAAUUAGCCGUGAGGUUUAAUCUAGUUUAUUUAAUCUGGCAUUUAUAGCCUCAAAUCCCCCUCCACCCCUACCCCAUACCUACCAAGGAGGAAAAAAUCUACCAAAGAAAAAGGCUCUUUUGCCAAGAAUAACGAAAAACCAAGAUCGGAAGACGUCCAUCAUCAUCAUCAGCUUUAGUGACUAUUCUGAAGAUAUGCAUCUGCUGAGUGCUCUCCAGAAGUUAGUCAUUUAGCAGGUUUACUCUCAUCUUACGCGGCAGUAAACUAAAUCAAAAAAAUGAGUGUCUGUGUCACUUGUGGAUUUACCGUGUGAUGGCCACGUCUGGCAGGCAACAGCAGCAGCAGCAACAAGGCCCCGUGCUGAUCUUCAGUUUAUAUUUUCCUGCACGCUUCAAAAACGCCUCGUCGCCACCCACCUCUUCCACCAUCAGGAUCAGGAACUUGAACACCA
Long non-coding RNA from Oreochromis niloticus (Nile tilapia), 1638 nucleotides. RefSeq lists it as uncharacterized. NCBI's taxonomy places the organism in Eukaryota, Metazoa, Chordata, Actinopteri, Cichliformes, Cichlidae. The record is from RefSeq and is a predicted model, not a curated record. The transcript is spliced from 2 exons.